AACGAACGCUGGCGGCGUGCCUAACACAUGCAAGUCGAGCGAGAAAAGGGGGAGCAAUCCCCUGAGUACAGCGGCGCACGGGUGAGUAACACGUAGGUGAUCUCCCCUCGAGCCCGGAACUAACCUACCGAAAGGUGGGCUAAUACCGGAUAUGACCACGGGAGUUUUGGUCUCCUGCGGUGAAAGAUGGCCUCUACCUGUAAGCUAUCACUCAAGGAUGAGCCUGCGUGCCAUUAGCUAGUUGGUGAGGUAACGGCUCACCAAGGCUAUGAUGGCUAGCUGGUCUGA
This 288-nucleotide ribosomal RNA is filed under the name uncultured bacterium. RNAcentral describes it as "partial 16S ribosomal RNA". It matches the Rfam family "Bacterial small subunit ribosomal RNA", at positions 29 to 295 of the family's 1533-position model. The record is from RNAcentral.